CCACCCAUAGACAAUAUAUUUUUACCCUGCAAUUCACACCCUAAUUAGUGACGCUCACAAUCGUCUCCCUCCCCGCCACUUGCAUCUCCAUUCUCCCAAACCCUAAUCAACUCUAUUCACUUCCCUCAAACAUAUACAUAGAAGAGGUGGAGCUGGAGUUAGCUAGAGAAACAUAUACAGAGAAGAGGCGGGAUAACAGGGGCUGCCGGAACCUUCUGUUCCCGCCGUCGGUUCUAUCCACCACGGUUCAGGCUUCAGCCACACCACCCCGCGGAGCUUCUUAUGCCACCGUUGACCGUCGAGGUAAUAGGGGCUGCCGGAACCUUCUGUUCCCGCCGUCGGUUCUAUCCACCGCCGUUCAAGCUUCAGCCACACCACCCCGCGAAGCCUCUUAUGCCACCGUCGACCGUCGAGCGUACCCAUAUGUUCACAAUUGUUCAUCCGGAGAAUCGAGUUUAUGCAAAUUUAGAAGGUGAUGCUUUGCAUAGUCUAAGGACUAACUUAGAAGAUCCAAAUAGUGUGCUCCAAAGUUGGGAUCCGACCCUUGUAAACCCUUGCACAUGGUUUCAGCCACACCACCGUUCAGGCUUCAGCUACACCACCCCGCGGAGCUUCUUAUGCCACCGUCGACCGUUGAGGUAACAUGGGUUCUCUUUGCACCAAACUCCGUCCAUGUUGUCUAGCUUCAUCACAAGAUUCAUCGGUUACCGAAGAUCCUAAAGCUGGGAACAAGGAUGAGGAUGCGAGUGACCCAAAUGCAUUUAAAGAAUACACAUUGGAGCAACUUAAAAACGCGACAUCUGGUUUCGCUGUUGAGAACAUUGUUUUCUGAGCAUGGUGAAAAGGCUCCAAAUGUCGUUUAUAAAGGGAAGCCCGAGAAUCAAACGCGGAUAGCUGUAAAGCUGUUUACUGGAUCUGCUUGGCCUGAUGCUCGACAAUUUUUGGCUUGCCAAACCAUAGAUUAGUACUAAAGGUCGGUUUAUGCAAUGGAACUCGACUACAGGUCUUAUCAUUGCGCGAUCGCGUUGUUGAAGCACGAAUCUUAUCUGGAAGUAAUAUUGGCGCUCGAACGUUUAUCCCUAGAUUUCGAUUAAUACCGUCAGACAAAAGGAUUCCGUUUAAAUUUCAAAGAAGAGAGCUUCCUCUCGUUGUUUGUUUUGCCAUGACUAUUAAUAAAAGUCAAGGACAAUCCUUGUGUAAGGUUGGAUUGUUUCUAAAACAACCAGUUUUUACACAUGGCCAGCUAUAUGUGGCAUUAUCAAGGGUAAAAAGCAGAGAUGGACUCAAGUUAUUGAUACUUGAUGAGGAUGGUCAAAUUACAAACAAAACUACAAAUGUCGUGUACAAAGAAGUUUUUAGAGAUUUGUAGCAUGUAACGUUUACCUUUAUAUUAUAUUAUUCGACACUUUUGAAUACCUUAAUCCUAAA
Molecule: RNA transcript, 1428 nt
Organism: Helianthus annuus (common sunflower)
Lineage: Eukaryota; Viridiplantae; Streptophyta; Magnoliopsida; Asterales; Asteraceae
Exons: 5
Source: RefSeq, a predicted model, not a curated record